AUGUGCCGCUCGUACACGCCGGUUCCUGCGCGCUGGCCAUGCCCACCUGACGACUGCUUGCCACGUGUCGUCGGCC
RNAcentral lists this small RNA (76 nucleotides) under Xanthomonas arboricola. RNAcentral's name for it is "sX9 sRNA". It matches the Rfam family "Xanthomonas sRNA sX9". The record is from RNAcentral. Lineage: Bacteria; Pseudomonadati; Pseudomonadota; Gammaproteobacteria; Lysobacterales; Lysobacteraceae.